This 71-nucleotide transfer RNA is filed under the name Marmota monax (woodchuck). Its description in RNAcentral is "tRNA.Thr". It matches the Rfam family "tRNA". From Rfam's summary of the family: Transfer RNA (tRNA) molecules are approximately 80 nucleotides in length. Their secondary structure includes four short double-helical elements and three loops (D, anti-codon, and T loops). Further hydrogen bonds mediate the characteristic L-shaped molecular structure. tRNAs have two regions of fundamental functional importance: the anti-codon, which is responsible for specific mRNA codon recognition, and the 3' end, to which the tRNAs corresponding amino acid is attached (by aminoacyl-tRNA synthetases). tRNAs cope with the degeneracy of the genetic code in two manners: having more than one tRNA (with a specific anti-codon) for a particular amino acid; and 'wobble' base-pairing, i.e. permitting non-standard base-pairing at the 3rd anti-codon position. The record is from RNAcentral. Lineage: Eukaryota; Metazoa; Chordata; Mammalia; Rodentia; Sciuridae.
GGGGUUGUGGCUCAGGGGUAGAGUGCUUGCCUUGUAUGCAUGAGGCACUGCGUUUGAUCUCCAGCACCACA